Molecule: ribosomal RNA, 527 nt
Filed under: Kryptoperidinium foliaceum
Lineage: Eukaryota; Dinophyceae; Peridiniales; Kryptoperidiniaceae
Description: partial Bacterial small subunit ribosomal RNA
Rfam family: Bacterial small subunit ribosomal RNA
Source: RNAcentral
AUGAAGAGUUUGAUCCUGGCUCAGGAUGAACGCUAGCGGCAGGCCUAAUACAUGCAAGUCGAGGGGCAGCACGGUUUUCGGACUGGUGGCGACCGGCGCACGGGUGCGUAACGCGUAUGCAAUCUACCUUAUACUGGAGGAUAGCCCGAGGAAACUCGGAUUAAUACUCCAUAGUAUCACGAAAUGGCAUCGUUUUGUGAUUAAAGAUUUAUUGGUAUAAGAUGAGCAUGCGUCUGAUUAGUUAGUUGGUAAGGUAACGGCUUACCAAGACGAUGAUCAGUAGGGGGUCUGAGAGGAUGAUCCCCCACACUGGCACUGAGAUACGGACCAGACUCCUACGGGAGGCAGCAGUAGGGAAUAUUGGUCAAUGGGCGAGAGCCUGAACCAGCCAUGCCGCGUGCAGGAUGACGGCCUUCUGGGUUGUAAACUGCUUUUAUAUGGGAAGAAAAAGGUCUUGCGAGACAAAUUGCCGGUACCAUAUGAAUAAGCACCGGCUAACUCCGUGCCAGCAGCCGCGGUAAUGCGGA